AACGCUGGCGGCGUGCCUAAUACAUGCAAGUCGAACGGUCUUUCUAUGGAAGCUUGCUUCCACCGAGAAGAUAGUGGCGAACGGGUGAGUAACACGUGGGUAACCUGCCCAUAAGAGGGGGAUAACAUCCGGAAACGGGUGCUAAUACCGCAUAGUUUUCUUGAUCGCAUGAUCGGGAAAGGAAAGACGGCCUUUGUGCUGUCGCUUAUGGAUGGACCCGCGGCGUAUUAGUUAGUUGGUGAGGUAACGGCUCACCAAGACGAUGAUACGUAGCCGACCUGAGAGGGUGAUCGGCCACAUUGGGACUGAGACACGGCCCAAACUCCUACGGGAGGCAGCAGUAGGGAAUCUUCCGCAAUGGACGAAAGUCUGACGGAGCAACGCCGCGUGAGUGAAGAAAAGGUUUUCGGAUCGUAAAACUCUGUUGUCAGAGAAGAACAAGUUGGAGAGUAACUGCUCCAGCCUUGACGGUAUCUGACCAGAAAGCCACGGCUAACUACGUGCCAGCCGCCGC
Molecule: ribosomal RNA, 514 nt
Filed under: uncultured bacterium
Lineage: Bacteria
Description: bacterial SSU rRNA
Rfam family: Bacterial small subunit ribosomal RNA
Source: RNAcentral